GGUAGCUUGCUACUUAACCUAGCGGCGGACGGGUGAGUAAUGCUUAGGAAUCUGCCUAUUAGUGGGGGACAACAUCUCGAAAGGGAUGCUAAUACCGCAUACGUCCUACGGGAGAAAGCAGGGGACCUUCGGGCCUUGCGCUAAUAGAUGAGCCUAAGUCGGAUUAGCUAGUUGGUGGGGUAAAGGCCUACCAAGGCGACGAUCUGUAGCGGGUCUGAGAGGAUGAUCCGCCACACUGGGACUGAGACACGGCCCAGACUCCUACGGGAGGCAGCAGUGGGGAAUAUUGGACAAUGGGGGGAACCCUGAUCCAGCCAUGCCGCGUGUGUGAAGAAGGCCUUUUGGUUGUAAAGCACUUUAAGCGAGGAGGAGGCUACCGAGAUUAAUACUCUUGGAUAGUGGACGUUACUCGCAGAAUAAGCACCGGCUAACUCUGUGCCAGCAGCCGCGGUAAUACAGAGGGUGCAAGCGUUAAUCGGAUUUACUGGGCGUAAAGCGCGCGUAGGUGGCCAAUUAAGUCAAAUGUGAAAUCCCCGAGCUUAACUUGGGAAUUGCAUUCGAUACUGGUUGGCUAGAGUAUGGGAGAGGAUGGUAGAAUUCCAGGUGUAGCGGUGAAAUGCGUAGAGAUCUGGAGGAAUACCGAUGGCGAAGGCAGCCAUCUGGCCUAAUACUGACACUGAGGUGCGAAAGCAUGGGGAGCAAACAGGAUUAGAUACCCUGGUAGUCCAUGCCGUAAACGAUGUCUACUAGCCGUUGGGG
This 759-nucleotide ribosomal RNA is filed under the name Acinetobacter pittii. Its description in RNAcentral is "bacterial SSU rRNA". It matches the Rfam family "Bacterial small subunit ribosomal RNA", at positions 74 to 828 of the family's 1533-position model. Lineage: Bacteria; Pseudomonadati; Pseudomonadota; Gammaproteobacteria; Moraxellales; Moraxellaceae. The record is from RNAcentral.